Molecule: long non-coding RNA, 1068 nt
Organism: Lepisosteus oculatus (spotted gar)
Lineage: Eukaryota; Metazoa; Chordata; Actinopteri; Semionotiformes; Lepisosteidae
Source: RefSeq, a predicted model, not a curated record
GACACAAAACUAUGCCAGAAAUAGGAAUUCACACACAAGCAGAAAAACAAGGGACCCAGAUCUUAAAUAAGUUAUGAGGAUAACUACUGGAAACACUGAACACCAGAAGCUUAAAGAUUUAGAUCCCCACAACAGCUUCCUCUGAGACCAUCUCUCAUCCUCCAAGUGCCUCUUCCUCCCACUUGCACUGAUCUGUACAGAACAACCAUCUAAACUGAUGAUGCAGAGAAUAAAGAACAUUGGAAGAGUGGCAGAACAUCCCUGAGGACAUUAUCCAGAGUCCCAUUGGAUCUUUCUGUCAACACUGCCAGGAUUGUGCUAAUGCUCAGGUUGAUCAGGCAGAUACUAAACUUGUAAUGUUUUCAUUCUGAUAGUGUGUCAUAUUUCAUAUGGAAAAUUGAUUCUUUGAUCUGUAACUGUUCAAAUUUUCUUUAAUUUUGUUUGGUAUCAAUUUUUGAUUAAAUCAAUUAGAAUUGAGCGAUGGAAUUUCUUUUUGCAUUGUUAAAUGUUCACAACAUUUAAUUUAUAAAAAAUAAAAAGUUAUUUUGGAUACAGUGGAAAUUGCUUUCAGUCUAAGUGUUAUGUUAAUGAAGCUAAUGGUUUUGCUAUGCAUAAUUGUUAUAUCAUUAUUUCAUUGAUAAAGGUUUUCUGCUCCCUCUCUUCAAUUACCUGCUGUUUUGGUACAAUGCUAUGUUGACAAUAUUGGGGCAUUAUAACGGAGUUUUUGGGGUGCAAGUUCUGGAUAUACUGGCUCCUUGUUUUCAUUUCCCCAGAAUAUUAACAGAAAUGUAAACAUCAAUUUGAUUUAGUCAAUUACCCAUUGGUUUAUGUACUAAUGAUAUCAGGGUAUUAAAACAAUACCCAAUGCUAGGUUGCAUUAUGGUAUAUUUGGAAAUUCAUGUAGCCCAAUUCACAGUUAAGAAAGUUAAUGUAAUGUAAUAAGGUGUUUAUUAAGGAAAUUAGUAUCCCAAGCAUACAUAUUAUUCCUGAAUGCCUAAUUGUUUGAGUAUACCUGGAAUAAAUAAGUCGUCUAAUAAUAUUGUAAUGCCCUCGCCUGGUGGUGAGGAG